CUUUAUGUCAUCUUUUUUUAAAAAGAAAGAAAGAAAACACUCGCGGAUAAAUGUCACACCGAAGUAAUAAAGGGGAUCAAAGUGAAAGUGAUUAAAAUGGUGAGGGGUAAAGUGCAAAAAGUUAGAUUGAGGAAAAAGUCACGAGGAAUGAUGAUGACGUCACUUAGCAAGAUGGCUCUGCCACAGCUACGUUAAAACCGCGUGCUUGGGUCCAUAUGAAUAACCGACGUAAUUUAUUUAUAAUUUAUAUAUUAUUACUCUAGCAGCUUCUUAAAAAAAAUCACUGAACAGCCUACUUUAAAUCGCUUUUAACCUCGUAUUGAGGAAAAAAGGUCGAACCCAUUUCGUAUCCAAUGCAGACAACUUGGACUACAAGUUCCUGAAAAACUACAGCUUAUUUCGCAGAAUCUGUCGUAUUAUACCAUUUACAUUAAACUAAUUAGAUUUUGCCUUUGUUGUUCUCUUUUUUUUUUUACUUUUUUAUAGUUCGAGAGGUAAGUAAAAGAGUGUUUAAAAGCAUUGGAUUGAGCAUUAUACGUCUAAGGUUAAACUAUAUUAGACCAGAGAGCUUUCCAUUACAUGUAUUGUAUGAGAGCGAGAGCUUAUUUCUGGGGUCAAGACCGGUUAUGUUUUGCCAGUAUAUAUUUAAGAUUGGCAUCAAACUUGUAACGACCAUAUAUAUUUUAUAUUUUAUGUUUCGUAUUUGUAUUCAGAUCGUUAUUUUAUUAUCAACAUAUAACUAACUUGCGAAAAGAAUCAAAAUAUUAUGUUUACUAUAUGAUUUGUGAAACAUGUAAUAUUAUACUAUUGGCAACUGAAUCAUUCACCAAUUAAUGGUUUAGUGUUUCAUAUACAGUUUCUAACUUUAUAGAAUACUAUACUAGUUACAGUGGUCAUAUUUAUUCAAGACAUUCUACUAUAAUUCUGCCAUUCUGGUAUCAGCGAAGUAUAAGGAGACUUAAGAAUUUGAGUCAAUAUCUGCAAGUUUCGUCCGGAAGCUUCGUCAAACGUUGAUUUCCCGCUUCAGAAUCGGAAUCAGAAGUUUAUGAAAACUCUCGGAAUCUCGUUUCCAAUACGCUUCCAAAAAUACCUCUUUAAAAAUAUGUUGGAAACUUAUUCUUCCAUUUAGGAUUCACCUUCCAUCUAAAAAAAUUAAUAUCAUUAAUAAGUAAAAAAUAUAUAUUAUAUUUUUUAUUUUAUAUAAAAUUCAAAAUUAAUAGUAUUAAAAUAGAGAUAAUACAAAAUAUGCAAAUAUCAAAUUUAGUACUAUAAAUUUUCUUUGUGCAUGAUAAUUUUUUUUGUAAUUGAUCUUGCAUAUAUAUUCAAAUAUAUUGUGACAGAUAUUUGCGAACUAUUAAAAAUAAUUAAGUUGAUAAUAUUUUUAUAAGCUUAAUAUGUUAGUAUUUUUAUAAUUAAAAUAUGAAUUCAACUAAAUGAAUAAAAUAAUUAAAAAUGAACAAGUGAUUUUUUUAUAUUUUGAAUCAUAUAACUUUAGUCAUAAGCUUUAUUAAAUCAUUUUUAUUUUUAUAUAUAUAUAUAUAUGUUUAUUUAUUGGAUAUACGCUUCCAACACGUAUUCGCUUCUUAAUUUUUUGAAAAAUCUUACUUUUACGCUUCCAUACGAUUUUGCUUCCACGUACACGCUUUCGAUUCUAGGUAACAUAGCCUUUGACUCACUUUGGAAUGUGUGUAUGUCGACUGAUUUCAAAAAAUUGAAUUGCGGAUAUAAGUGUUGAUCAAACUUAUUUUAUGGAGCGGUUGUGGAUUGGUCUAAUUUGAAUUGCGGAGAUUUACCUUAUUUGCAAUUUUAUUUUUUGAAAAAAUGAAAAAAACAAAUUUUGUCAAAAUAUAUAUUAUUUUUUAUUAGUAUUUUAAUUUUAUAAGUAGAAUCAAUAGCAAUAAAUCAUGUUUGAAGAGGUUCAUAUGAAAUGUCAUGUAAAAAAAUAACUCAACACAAGGAUGAUGAAUUACUUUCAGAAAUAAAUAACUAAAAUAUAAUUAAAAUAAUUAUUCUUUAAAUUUUAAAAUUACUGUGGCCUAUUCGAAAUACCUGUAGAUUUCUACAGAAUUGGUGCUGGUUUACUAUUUUUUUGCCAGUUAUGCACGUCGAUUUUUGAAUAAAACAAAUUCAACUUGCGUUGAGAUGAAUCAAAUGGAGCGAGUUUGGCAUGUUUCCCAAUACUAAGAAAGAUUAUUGAAUCGAGAAUAUAAGAGAAUUUUAAUUUUUCUUCUUCUUAAAUUCCUUCUUAUUGUAACAAGCAUUUAUAAAAUAUUAUAUGAAAUCUUAGUUUACUGAAUUAUUCAUUUGUAUAAAUUUUUCUAAAUUAUAGCUUAUUGAAAUAUAUGGAUUUGUCAAUAAAAUCUAUGAAAUAGUAUUUGUUGGGCUUUGAAAUAUAAUUUUUAUUUAAUAUAUAGUGAACCGAAAUACCAGUUCAGAUAUAAUAUUUAAAACUUUUUAAAAGACAAAACGAAUUUUUCUUUAUUUUUUCACUUUAAGGUUUAAGAAAAUUAAAAUGUUUGGAAUAAAAAACUGAAAUAAUUAUUUGAAUAUCAAUUUUUUAAUUUAAUACACGUUUUUUAUAAUUGACAAAAUAAUUAAAUAUAUUUAUGAAUAAAUUUUGAUCAUUUGUUUUUUUUUAAGAUCGAGAGAAUAUUUUCAGAAACCCUGACUUUUUUUUCAAAUAACCUUAAAACUCGUAAAAAUAAUCCUACAAAAUCUACUUAAAUCUUUGAUUUCCUUGAAUUUAGUAUAUGUUAAAAUUAUCUCAAAUCUUUAAUCCAAUUCUUAAGCAUAAAAUCAAGCAAUUACCAUCUAGGCACUUGGUAGUAAUAUCCACCACUACCAUAUUCUAUAGUAAGGAUGCUGUCAAUUACUAAAUAAAUAUGUGCAUGCAUGUAUUUACGUACGAACUAGAAACUUAAAAGUUGAUUUUAUUUGAAACAGAAUUGCAAUAUGCUCUUAUGGUAGUAAUAUUAUGCUCCCCACAAUCACUUUUAUUUUUAGGGGAUUAUGACUCACUCGAAAGAAUCCUUUAAAUUUAAUUAAGGAGGACAAAAAGCAAUAUAAUGAUAAUAAUAAUUUUUCACAAAAGAAAAUAUUAUUAUUAACGUUGCAGAAGGUGAUUAUUAAAUUAAACGUAAAGUAUGGUGUUUAAUUUAAAAGUCCUGAGAGGUAUAUUCCUUUUGUACUUUUUUUUAUUGCGGUGUUUUCGUUUUUUACAGCUGUAUGGGACACCAAACCUGGAUGGACGUUAGAUGCAAUCUAAAUCGCAUAUACAAAUGAAUCCAACGGAUAAAAUCGUAGUGAGGCAAAUGGAGGAUGACACAGAGGAUUUGACCACCUUUUUCGCCUGCGAAUCCAGCGUGGAGCCAAUCAGAAGACCUGCUGUCAAACAAUGUGUCCCGUCCACAGGUUAUGUUAAACAAUGUGACACUGACACAGGUUGUUUGGAUUCCUUAUUAGUACUAAUUUGCAGUUCUCUUACCUUUAUUAACCACAACACUGUUUUGAAAACGAUUCAAAUCAGCUUCUCAAAUACUCACACUAUUUUAUAGUACAUUAAUGAGUUUCUAAAUUAAUUUGUUUUUAGCCUUUUAAAUGUUAGAAAGUGUUUGGAAAAGGUAUAAAUCUCGUGCAUUUGCUAUGUGCCAAAAAUAUAUUGUCUUCGGGUUAUUAAUAAUUCUCAUGUGAACUGCGAAUGUAGUUUUUUUUUGGGUGGAAAGAGUAAGUUACAAAAAAAAGGAACAAUUAAGGUUCCGAAUGGUGACUGCGGUUUGAGCGGUGUGGGACAAGCAGUUCAACUGCGGUGCGGUUCUAAUAGUUAUAAAAAUAUAUAGAUAUAUAAUAUAUGUAGAGAUUUUUGUUACUGUUAACUGCAGGGCGGGACGGGACAAUGGUCACCAUUCGAAGCUUAAAUGCUUGUAGUCGACCCCGCACACACCCACAAUUUUGAACUUUUUUUAGUAGUAAUUUUUAUAUUAACUAUUCUUAAAUCGAAAAAUGCUUCAUGGUGUACAACUUUAGAAUAAGGUGAAAAAAAACAGAAUUGGUGGUGGAUAUUGAAAUGUUGUUUGUAGUUAGUUUAUUUGGUGGCGGAUACUGAAAUUGGUACGAAGAUAGCAUUGUGUUUUUUUUUUUGACUAAACAGUAUUGUGGUUUAUAAGGAGGAAUAACUUGUGAAAUAUUUUUCAUUUCAAAUAUUUUUUUUUACCAAAUCAAUUUUACGCAAAAUGAAACGGGUAAGGUUUCAACUAUUCUACCAACGGAAUUUAUAUCAUUUUAGAAUUGAUUUUACAUGACUUUGUCACGAUUAGACAUCUUAUAUAUUAAAAAAAAACUCACAAUCUUGAUUCAUAUGUAAUUUUUUUUUAAAAAAUAGAUAUAAUGGAUUUAUUCCUAAAAAGUCAUGUUACUUUUAAUAUCUAAUAUUAUCAUUUAAAUUUUAGGCAUACCAGAAAUUUUUAUUGGGCUAUCAAUAAUUAGAUUUAAACAAUAGAUGAUCCAUUAGAUUUAUAGAUAGUAUAAAUUAAAUAAAUAUAAUUUAAUGUUGUAAUACUAUACCUUUAUAUGCCAAAUAUUUAAAUAUUUGUCGAUGUUAACUUUUAAAAUUAUAAUUUUUUUUUUAAAUAA
This is a long non-coding RNA of Brassica rapa (field mustard), 4629 nucleotides long. RefSeq lists it as uncharacterized. Lineage: Eukaryota; Viridiplantae; Streptophyta; Magnoliopsida; Brassicales; Brassicaceae. The record is from RefSeq and is a predicted model, not a curated record.